This 274-nucleotide ribosomal RNA is filed under the name uncultured bacterium. RNAcentral's name for it is "partial 16S ribosomal RNA". It matches the Rfam family "Bacterial small subunit ribosomal RNA", at positions 523 to 796 of the family's 1533-position model. The record is from RNAcentral.
AUACGGAGGGUGCAAGCGUUACUCGGAAUCACUGGGCGUAAAGCGCGCGCAGGCGGUCUUUUAAGUUGGAUGGGAAAGCCUACGGCUCAACCGUAGAACUGCAUCCAAAACUAUUAGACUAGAGUGUGGGAGAGGAAGAUGGAAUUAGUUGUGUAGGGGUAAAAUCCGUAGAGAUAACUAGGAAUACCAAAAGCGAAGGCAAUCUUCUGGAACACUACUGACGCUGAGGCGCGAAAGCGUGGGGAGCAAACAGGAUUAGAAACCCUAGUAGUCC